This 200-nucleotide ribosomal RNA is filed under the name uncultured bacterium. RNAcentral describes it as "partial 16S ribosomal RNA". It matches the Rfam family "Bacterial small subunit ribosomal RNA", at positions 328 to 539 of the family's 1533-position model. The record is from RNAcentral.
ACGCUCGACACCUACGGGUGGCAGCAGUCGGGAAUAUUGCGCAAUGGAGGAAACUCUGACGCAGUGACGCCGCGUAUGGGAAGAAGGUUUUCGGAUUGUAAACCAUUUUAGACAAGGAAGAAACAAGACAGUACUUGUAGAAUAAGCUCCGGCUAACUACGUGCCAGCAGCCGCGGUAAUCUGAGGCGGGCUGGCAAGGC